GACGAACGCUGGCGGCGUGCUUAACACAUGCAAGUCGAGCGGUAAGGCCCUUCGGGGUACACGAGCGGCGAACGGGUGAGUAACACGUGAGCAACCUGCCCCUGACUCCGGGAUAAGCGGUGGAAACGCCGUCUAAUACCGGAUACGACCCCUCCACCUCAUGGUGGAGGGUGGAAAGUUUUUCGGUCAGGGAUGGGCUCGCGGCCUAUCAGCUUGUUGGUGGGGUAACGGCCUACCAAGGCGAUUACGGGUAGCCGGCCUGAGAGGGCGACCGGCCACACUGGGACUGAGACACGGCCCAGACUCCUGCGGGAGGCAGCAGUGGGGAAUAUUGCGCAAUGGGCGAAAGCCUGACGCAGCGACGCCGCGUGGGGGAUGACGGCCCUUUCGGGUUGUAAAC
RNAcentral lists this ribosomal RNA (400 nucleotides) under Nocardiopsis sp. oral taxon B75. RNAcentral's name for it is "bacterial SSU rRNA". It matches the Rfam family "Bacterial small subunit ribosomal RNA", at positions 28 to 430 of the family's 1533-position model. The record is from RNAcentral. Lineage: Bacteria; Bacillati; Actinomycetota; Actinomycetes; Streptosporangiales; Nocardiopsidaceae.